GGAAAACAUACUCGUUUUCCUGGCACUAUAGUGCCCUGAGGGUGCCCCCACCCUCAGGGACCCCCUCCCGCCCGGCUCUGGAAGGAGGAAAGGGUUAAAAACUUACCUUUUUCCAGCGCUGGGCGGAGAGCUCUCCUCCUCCUCCUCCUCCGUUCCUCCUCCUGGGCUGAAUGCGCACGCGCGGCAAGAGCUGCGCGCGCAUUCAGCCCGUCGCAUAGGAAAGCAUUUACAAUGCUUUCCUAUGGACGCUUGCGUGC
Molecule: non-coding RNA, 257 nt
Organism: Pelobates cultripes (western spadefoot toad)
Lineage: Eukaryota; Metazoa; Chordata; Amphibia; Anura; Pelobatidae
Source: the annotation of a GenBank genome assembly